GAAUAGUAUUUUCGUCAGGGCAGUUAAAGCUUCUUAAAGCAGUGGCUAAAGACUAAAGACAUUUUAAAUAAUGGCUUAAAAAUAAAUACAUAUGUUAUUAGUGGCUAACUGUGUACUUUCCCCUUAAUUAUACAACACCAUAAGGACCUAAAAAGAAGAUGAUGAAGAAGAAGUAGUCACAUGAAUAAAAAUAAGAAGAAGUAAAUAUUUGUACAGAAAAAUAAAAAUUUUAUUAAAAAAAACUCUUGAGUUCAAUACCGAUGAAGUUGCUGACCAUCGCCUUUAAUGGUAGAGAACAUCAGUAGAUGUAGCACAUAGAGGUCACCGGAGCAGUAGUAGAAUGGCUGAGUGAAGAUGAUAGAGCAAAAGAGAAUAUGAAAUGAGGUCUGCGUACACACUAUACUCCACAGACCCUAUUAAAUAAAAUUAUACUGGGUUGUUGUUGUUUGAUAAAAUUAAAGAAAAAAAGAGAGGAUAUGAACGAAAGUGGUAUUGGGAAGAAAAAUCGGUGCAUUUGAUAGAACGAAAGAAAGAGAAAGAAGGUGAAAAUGAAGGUG
RNAcentral lists this long non-coding RNA (557 nucleotides) under Nicotiana benthamiana. Its description in RNAcentral is "long non-coding RNA (NBEN_LNC022258)". Lineage: Eukaryota; Viridiplantae; Streptophyta; Magnoliopsida; Solanales; Solanaceae. The record is from RNAcentral.